Molecule: ribosomal RNA, 497 nt
Filed under: uncultured bacterium
Lineage: Bacteria
Description: partial 16S ribosomal RNA
Rfam family: Bacterial small subunit ribosomal RNA
Source: RNAcentral
GAUGAACGCUGGCGGCGUGCCUAAUACAUGCAAGUCGAGCGAACAGACGAGGAGCUUGCUCCUCUGACGUUAGCGGCGGACGGGUGAGUAACACGUGGAUAACCUACCUAUAAGACUGGGAUAACUUCGGGAAACCGGAGCUAAUACCGGACAACAUGUUGAACCGCAUGGUUCAACAGUGAAAGACGGUCUUGCUGUCACUUAUAGAUGGAUCCGCGCCGCAUUAGCUAGUUGGUAAGGUAACGGCUUACCAAGGCAACGAUGCGUAGCCGACCUGAGAGGGUGAUCGGCCACACUGGAACUGAGACACGGUCCAGACUCCUACGGGAGGCAGCAGUAGGGAAUCUUCCGCAAUGGGCGAAAGCCUGACGGAGCAACGCCGCGUGAGUGAAGAAGGUCUUCGGAUCGUAAAACUCUGUUAUUAGGGAAGAACAAAUGUGUAAGUAACUAUGCACGUCUUGACGGUACCUAAUCAGAAAGCCACGGCUAACUACGUG